This is a long non-coding RNA of Camelina sativa (false flax), 1074 nucleotides long. RefSeq lists it as uncharacterized. The record is from RefSeq and is a predicted model, not a curated record. NCBI's taxonomy places the organism in Eukaryota, Viridiplantae, Streptophyta, Magnoliopsida, Brassicales, Brassicaceae.
UUCUCUCCAGUUGACACCUCAGUUUCUUGUAUUGAAUCAGAAGCUGACACAUCAGUAAAAAUAAACCACCAAUCAAAUUAUAACAAUAAUACAGAUAAUCAAAAUAUGCUCUUACGUGGCUUAAAGAACCAAAUGUACGCGAUAAUACUUCUCUCUUUCUCAGGUCACCACCGGAGUUUCUCGACUGCGAAAUCGAAUGGUUUCGAAGAUGGAGAUUAUGAUUUCACGGCAGAUCUGCCGGACUAUUGCCUCGCUCAUACCUUUCAAUUUCUCAGCACCGGAGAUCGGAAAAGAAGCUUGCUGACUCGAGUCAAGCUUCGUGGUUGUCGCGAGAUUACGGAUGUAGGUAUGGAUUCGUUCGCUAGAAACUGUAAAAACUUGAGGAAGCUAUCGUGUGCCUCUUCUAAUUUCGGUGCCAAGGGAUUAAACGCGAUGCUUGAGGGGAAUUCUUGAAUUAGCUGAACCUAUUAAGCUGAGUUUGUCUUCUCGCAGAUCUGGGAUACCGCCGGCCAAGAACGGUGGAGUUUUGUUAUUAGACCAAGUUACUGCAAAAGAAGAAAUUGGGGUGAUUAAAUCAAUGACUCAGGUAAUGAAAGGGGAUGAAAUUCCCACAAUAGAAAGUAUUCCAAAAUGCCUUACAGAAAUGGUUGGCAGAACAAUGGAAUUUCAAAUCAAGAUUACUGAAUACAACAUCUGAGCAUCUUCUCAAGCUUUCAUUGUUACUCGGGUCAUGAAAGAAAACAUAUUUGGAGAUUUAGAGGGAGAUGAAACAACCACAUAUGUCAACGUAACAAAAUAUGAGGAGAUUAAAACAGAGAAUGGGAAAAGACCUCCUACGUUUCAAGAAGAGGAAGAGGAGGAAAAGAAAUCCAAAAAGAAACGCUCGAUCACAACUUAAUAUGUGAUAGUCAAGAUAUUUACAAAAACAUGUGGCAGUUUAAAGUUCUACAUCUCUAAGUCGUUGAGAUUUUUAUUCUACAUCUUCAAGUCUUUUACAUUUCAAUACUACAUGUCAAACUCUUUGAUUAAAAUUCUACAUUCUGUUUUAAAAUACCAUUUCAUAUGGAAGCCUAA